This 468-nucleotide ribosomal RNA is filed under the name uncultured bacterium. Its description in RNAcentral is "partial 16S ribosomal RNA". It matches the Rfam family "Bacterial small subunit ribosomal RNA", at positions 28 to 507 of the family's 1533-position model. The record is from RNAcentral.
GACGAACGCUGGCGGCGUGCUUAACACAUGCAAGUCGAACGGAAAGGCCCUGCUUUUGUGGGGUGCUCGAGUGGCGAACGGGUGAGUAACACGUGAGUAACCUGCCCUUGACUUUGGGAUAACUUCAGGAAACUGGGGCUAAUACCGGAUAGGAGCUCCUGCUGCAUGGUGGGGGUUGGAAAGUUUCGGCGGUCGGGGAUGGACGCGCGGCUUAUCAGCUUGUUGGUGGGGUAGGGGCUGACCAAGGCUUUGACGGGUAGCCGGCCUGAGAGGGUGACCGGCCACCUUGGGACUGCGAUACGGCCCAGACUCCUACGGGAGGCAGCAGUGGGGAAUAUUGCACAAUGGGCGGAAGCCUGAUGCAGCAACGCCGCGUGCGGGAUGACGGCCUUCGGGUUGUAAACCGCUUUCGCCUGUGACGCAGCGUGAGUGACGGUAAUGGGUAAAGAAGCACCGGCUAACUACGUG